Molecule: ribosomal RNA, 425 nt
Filed under: uncultured bacterium
Lineage: Bacteria
Description: partial 16S ribosomal RNA
Rfam family: Bacterial small subunit ribosomal RNA
Source: RNAcentral
GUAGGGAAUAUUGCACAAUGGAGGAAACUCUGAUGCAGCGACGCCGCGUGAGUGAUGAAGGCCUUCUGGUCGUAAAACUCUGUGAUAAGGGAAGAUGAUGACGGUACCUUAUCAGAAAAGACCGGCUAACUUCGUGCCAGCAGCCGCGGUAAUACGAGGGGUCUAAGCGUUGUUCGGAAUCACUGGGCGUAAAGCGGGUGUAGGUGGCUAUGCAAGUUGGAUGUGAAAGCCGCGGGCUCAACCCGGGAAGUGCAUCCAAAACUACGUAGCUUGAGUGCGGGAGAGAAAGGCAGAAUUCCUGGUGUAGUGGUGAAAUACGUAGAUAUCAGGAGGAACUCCGGUGGCGAAGGCGGCCUUUUGGCCCAGCACUGACACUCAGACCCGAAAGCGUGGGUAGCAAACAGGAUUAGAAACCCUUGUAGUCC